This is a long non-coding RNA of Oncorhynchus tshawytscha (Chinook salmon), 739 nucleotides long. Lineage: Eukaryota; Metazoa; Chordata; Actinopteri; Salmoniformes; Salmonidae. The record is from Ensembl.
CAGGAGUAGCUCACAUACAGUAUGCAGCUGGCCAUUUACCAUAGACAGCCAUCACUGUAAGCUAUACCACUACUCUAAUGAUUGAUGAGUCAACACAAUCUGCUGCUGUGCACUCUAGUCUAGGAGACCGACAGAGUAAUUUCCCUCCACUCAACAGCCAUCAAGCACUCAGCCUUUCAGCAUGCUCUAAGCAUGAAUAAAACAUAAUGUUCAGGGGAGGAGAGUUCAAAUCAAAUCAAAUUUUAUUUGUCACAUACACAUGGUUAGCAGAUGUUAAUGCGAGUGUAGCGAAAUGCUUGGGGCAGGUUCUGUACAAUGCAUGAACGGGCCAUGCCUUGCUGAGUAAAGAGUGAAAUGUUGCUGUACCUCUCUUGCAUAAAACAGAAAGGAAAUAAUACCAGAAAAGAAUUUAUAACACCACAAUCACUUCCCUCCCCCAUCUUUUGUUUCGUAGGCAUGGGUUCUGAACAGGUGGCCUGAAAACCAGGACACUUUACCUGAGCCUGAGGAGAAGAGAAGCCCUGACAACUAACCAAUGCAUUUUGCCAGGACUCCUGAAGGGAUGAGCUGGGCUGGAGGAUGCAUGGCAUCAUCGCGGGCAACAGGGACACUUUGUUAUACAGUAUGAGGUGACUGAGGAGCUGAACAGACAUAUCCUGCAGUAUGACAUUCAGCUGCUACUACUAGGAAGUGAAAACGCUGAUUUUCUACUAAGUGAGAUGUGAAAUAACAACUAAUC